RNAcentral lists this ribosomal RNA (1346 nucleotides) under uncultured bacterium. RNAcentral describes it as "partial 16S ribosomal RNA". It matches the Rfam family "Bacterial small subunit ribosomal RNA", at positions 28 to 1381 of the family's 1533-position model. The record is from RNAcentral.
GACGAACGCUGGCGGCGUGCUUAACACAUGCAAGUCGAACGGAAAGGCCCUGCUUUUGUGGGGUGCUCGAGUGGCGAACGGGUGAGUAACACGUGAGUAACCUGCCCUUGACUUUGGGAUAACUUCAGGAAACUGGGGCUAAUACCGGAUAGGAGCUCCUGCUGCAUGGUGGGGGUUGGAAAGUUUCGGCGGUUGGGGAUGGACUCGCGGCUUAUCAGCUUGUUGGUGGGGUAGUGGCUUACCAAGGCUUUGACGGGUAGCCGGCCUGAGAGGGUGACCGGCCACAUUGGGACUGAGAUACGGCCCAGACUCCUACGGGAGGCAGCAGUGGGGAAUAUUGCACAAUGGGCGGAAGCCUGAUGCAGCAACGCCGCGUGCGGGAUGACGGCCUUCGGGUUGUAAACCGCUUUCGCCUGUGACGAAGCGUGAGUGACGGUAAUGGGUAAAGAAGCACCGGCUAACUACGUGCCAGCAGCCGCGGUGAUACGUAGGGUGCGAGCGUUGUCCGGAUUUAUUGGGCGUAAAGGGCUCGUAGGUGGUUGAUCGCGUCGGAAGUGUAAUCUUGGGGCUUAACCCUGAGCGUGCUUUCGAUACGGGUUGACUUGAGGAAGGUAGGGGAGAAUGGAAUUCCUGGUGGAGCGGUGGAAUGCGCAGAUAUCAGGAGGAACACCAGUGGCGAAGGCGGUUCUCUGGGCCUUUCCUGACGCUGAGGAGCGAAAGCGUGGGGAGCGAACAGGCUUAGAUACCCUGGUAGUCCACGCUGUAAACGGUGGGUACUAGGUGUGGGGUCCAUUCCACGGGUUCCGUGCCGUAGCUAACGCUUUAAGUACCCCGCCUGGGGAGUACGGCCGCAAGGCUAAAACUCAAAGGAAUUGACGGGGCCCCGCACAAGCGGCGGAGCAUGCGGAUUAAUUCGAUGCAACGCGUAGAACCUUGCCUGGGUUUGACAUGGAUCGGGAGUGCUCAGAGAUGGGUGUGCCUCUUUUGGGGUCGGUUCACAGGUGGUGCAUGCCUGUCGUCAGCUCGUGUCGUGAGAUGUUGGGUUAAGUCCCGCAACGAGCGCAACCCUUGUUCACUGUUGCCAGCACGUUAUGGUGGGGACUCAGUGGAGACCGCCGGGGUCAACUCGGAGGAAGGUGGGGAUGACGUCAAGUCAUCAUGCCCCUUAUGUCCAGGGCUUCACGCAUGCUACAAUGGCUGGUACAGAGAGUGGCGAGCCUGUGAGGGUGAGCGAAUCUCGGAAAGCCGGUCUCAGUUCGGAUUGGGGUCUGCAACUCGACCUCAUGAAGUCGGAGUCGCUAGUAAUCGCAGAUCAGCAACGCUGCGGUGAAUACGUUCCCGGGGCU